RNAcentral lists this small nucleolar RNA (77 nucleotides) under Spathaspora passalidarum NRRL Y-27907. Lineage: Eukaryota; Fungi; Ascomycota; Pichiomycetes; Serinales; Debaryomycetaceae. The record is from RNAcentral.
CUAAAUGAUGAAUUGUUUCACAACAUUCUGUCCGGUGAACCCUGAUCCAAGGAUAAAACAUGCAUCACCAUCUGACU